RNAcentral lists this ribosomal RNA (253 nucleotides) under uncultured bacterium. RNAcentral describes it as "partial 16S ribosomal RNA". It matches the Rfam family "Bacterial small subunit ribosomal RNA", at positions 524 to 776 of the family's 1533-position model. The record is from RNAcentral.
UACGUAGGGUGCGAGCGUUGCCCGGAAUUACUGGGCGUAAAGAGCUCGUAGGUGGUUUGUCGCGUUGUUCGUGAAAACUCACAGCUCAACUGUGGGCGUGCGGGCGAUACGGGCAGACUGGAGUACUGCAGGGGAGACUGGAAUUCCUGGUGUAGCGGUGGAAUGCGCAGAUAUCAGGAGGAACACCGGUGGCGAAGGCGGGUCUCUGGGCAGUAACUGACGAUGAGGAGCGAAAGCGUGGGGAGCGAACAGG